AUUAUUUUAAUAAGGGACUUUGGUACUUGACUUGUAGACAGAGGAGCUAUUUUUUAAACUAAGACUUAAAUUGAAUUCAGCCCCUGUACAUCCCAAUGUGCUUUUGGAAACUAUUACAAUAAAGCAUGAACACUUGACCUCUCUGGUUAUGUGGAAGAUGAACACAGCUCAGGAGACUUGCUUCCAGUUCUAAUUGAAACCAUCUAUAUUCCAGAUUCUACUUCUUACCGGUCUUUCGGGAACAGCACCCAAGUAGAAGCUCCGUGUUUGGUUGAGUGGGUGCGUGCCUGUGUGUGCCCGUGGAUGCCCACGACCUCGUGCCCACAGACACAGUGAAGGAUCGAGUGCAGAGUAUUGUACAGAGUUCUCGCUGCUAUACAGCAACCCGACUGCGUCCCAAACUCUCUGGAGGACACAGAAGACUUCUCCGUGUGGACUGAGGAAAGGGACCAGGGACGUAGACCCCUGCCGACCGGCACUGCCCACUGGUCUCCGCUCUGCGCCUUUUCGUCCUCAAAGGCUCGGUUCGCGGGAGUGUAAGCUCCCUGCGGGUAAGGAGGGGGCGAAUCUCCCCGGGCGGGAGGGUAGUGCUGGCCGUGCUGAGGCUGGGGCUCCAGCUGCCAGGCCGGGCUGUGCCGGCUGCCUCCCUGCUCCUGGGGCUUGGUCCUUGUCUCCCCCCAGACAUCCUCCAGGCGCCGGCUGCGGGGUCGGGGCUUCCUGACACGGUCUAGUAAUCUCCGGGUCACGUCGGUCAGGCUGCGACUUUCUUGCGGCGAGUCGGAGUACGGGCGCCGGCUGGGCCGAGGGGUGGCUGAGCAGAGCAGGUGAGGCCAGGGCGCGGUGGCCGCCCAGCGUCUGAUUCCGGGUCCCGGGUCUCGGCGGGGGCGCUGCUGAGACCCGCCCCGCCCUCCGAUCCCGGGGUCCUGGCCGCCUGUGACGCUCAGGCCACUUCACAAUGCUCCCGGCGCCACCUGGCCGCUGCAGCCCUCAGCCCUCGCCCACCCUGGGCUUCCUAGCACCCCGCGCAGCGAGAGGCGGGAAGGCGGCUGGAGCCUGGGAGAGGGCGUAUGGUAGAGGGGGCUGUAGAAAGUUCGGGGCACCCUAAAGAUGAGGGUGCGUAGUGAACCCCCACCUGUGUUGCAGGCAGGAAUUUGAACUCGCAUUUGUACAUCUUAAACUAGCAGAAUUUUAAAAGGAUAGAAUGUGGCCUGGAAGUGUGGGGUGGGGAGUCCUUUAGUCACAGGUCCCUACCACAGUGCACCUCUGCAGUGUAGGCAAAGUCGAGGCUCGUUAAUUUAUAUGCACCAUCCUUUUGCCCUUAUAACUUAGCAUGCUCAAGGAUAGUUUUUUAAACUUUUAGAGGACAGAAAACAAAACACAAUAGUUUGUUUCCUCCUAAUACAGCAAUUACUGCUUUUGUCAAAAUAGGAAUGUUAGGUGCAUAUUUCUGAAAUAGCAUUGGUGGACACCAUGGCAAAUCACUUUAUUGUUUUCCUUUUUCUCCAGUUUUAUGAGAUGACUUUUUCGGGUUGAGGCAUUCAGAGCUCAUGGGAAGAGCACUAGAUUUGGUCAUGUAGACUUGAGCUUGACUCUCCUCUGCCACUUUCCACUUGUGUGGUCUUGGCCAAGUUGAUAACUUUCCUGACCCUCAAGUUCUGGAACAGACGACUGGAAGAGGGGCCAUGACAAUACCACUGUAGGGCUGCCAUAAGGUAGAUGAAACUAUGCCUCAAGAGCCUAGCACCUUAAUACAGUCAAUUAAUAUCAUUUUGAUGUCCUUCUAGCCUUCAGCUACAAAUUGUAAGAUUUAAUACAGAAAAUACAUUUAAUACAUUGUAAGAUUUUUACAUAUGAACAUGUUCCAUUCCAAUAGUGUAUUCCUAAAUCCAGUUUGUCAUGAGUCCAACAAGGUUAGCCUAGGUACCCAACUAACACAGUCAGCUAUAUAGUACUGUAAGGUGGUAGGUUUAUAAUACAUUUCACACAAAUAAUACAUACAAAACAUACACAAAAAAAUAAAACAUUUUUAAUCUUACAGUACAGUACCAUGAAAAGUGCAGUAGUACAGUACAGCAUCUGGCACACAGGGGCCAGCAUCAAGUGAACAGGCAAGAAGAGUUAUUGACUAGAGGAGGGAGAGGAGGUGGGAGAUGAGAUGGGAGAGCUGAAGAAUCAUCAGCAACAGGAGACGGAGGGCAAGGUGCAAUUUCACUCUCGCCUGACAUUGGUGUUCUAAGUUUGGUUCCCUGCUGGAACCAGAUGCACAUUCUCAUCUUUGAAAGUUCAAAACUUAAAGGUUUGUAUGUAGGGGACUUACUAUAUAUGGGUUUAUGAAAGUUUCUACAGAUUCCUAGCUUAACAAAAGAAGAACAGAAUUAAUGUCAUCCUAAAACAGUUUAGGUAAAGGAUAGAGUGCUAGGGAGGGGUGAUGUCCAGGCUCCAUUGUAUUCGUCCUGGACUGUGGAUCCUGGCUCAGUCACUUCCUUUCUCUGGGAUGUAAUGAGGAAACAGUUCUGGAUAAUAUUCUCCAAAUAUGGUCAAUCCUUAAAGAAGAAAAUCAAGCAUUUACUCAUCCCAGUCCUCUUCACCCACAUCUUCUUGAAGCUUCAUAGUAACUCCAGCUAGGCAGGGCCAAUAGAACUGAUAACAUUUCCUUAGGACAAAUCUGAGACUUGGCCAUUUUAACUGAUUCCCCCAAAGGUCAGUGGGUCAGUGGUGGAAGUUUUGAUUUUUAGGUUCACUUGUCUGUCCAUGAUAUCAUGCUGCUUCUCAGGAAAUGCACUCUGAAUUGAGACAUGUAUUAUGGACAGAAAGUUUGUGUUCUGCCCAAUUCAUACGUUGAGGCUCUAAACUCUAGUAGGAUGGUAUUUGGAGAUGGGGCCUUUGGGAGGUGAUUAGGUUUAGAUGAGGUCAUGAAGGUGCGGCCUUCAUGAUGGGAUGAGAGGAAGGGACAAGAAAUUCCGCUCUUUGCCGCCUGAGAUCACAGACAGAAGGUGGCUGUCUUUAAGUCUGGAAGUGGACCCUCGUCAAGAACUAAAUGUGCUCGUAUCUUGACUGAGGACUUCCCAGACUCAAGAACUGUGAGAAAUAAAUGUCUGUGGUUUAAGCCAUCCAGUCUACGGUGUUUUGUUAGAGCAGCCUGAGCUGACAGAGAUGACAUGCUCUAAAAAUAUUCUGAUCAGAUGUAUAUUCAAGGGUCAUGACAGCUAUGUCCUUGAAGCCAUGUGGUAGCAACCUUGACCAGAGUAUCUGAGGCCUCCCCAGGAGCCCACUCUGCCCGGAUAGGAGCUCCCAUGCAGUCAUUAGCAUGUCUAUAGCCAAGGACAGGAGGUUGCUUCUAGCCUAGAUUUCUAUUGGCGCUACUCAUACCAUUGUUAGAGAAAUUAUUUGGUGAUUAUAAUUUUUGCUUGGAGGCAAAUUUUACAUAAAAUAAAUUUGAGAGAUUUAUUCCAUAAACUUGAAAUGGAAUCAUUUAAGUGAGGAGAUAUUUGGGCAUGAACUGAGUCGUGCUGAUACCUGAGUGUCAUCUCUCUCUGAAGAAGCUUUGUAAAACAUUUUGCACACUACAUGUGGUUCUGGCUGGCACCAGGCCACUUCCUGUUACAGAGAAGCGGUGUUGUGUGGUGAAAAUACAGCCACCCAAGACCCAGGAGACCUGCCACCAGCCAGCUUUGCCACCUGCUGAUCACCUGUAGUGGUGAUUUCACUCUCUGUCUGGAGAUUCUGGUGGUUUCUUCAUUGCUGUAGGAGAUGAUUUGUAAGAUCUCUUCAUUCCCAAAGGCAACUGGAAAGAGGAGUUCAAUCUAGUAAAUCCUGCAGGCUUCCUUUUGUAAAACAGAAAUGAGUUAAUCCCUGAAAAAUGCUUGGCAUGUAGUUGGCAGUGCAUGGCAUGUAGUUGCUGCCUUAUAAAAAUUAGUCAUUAGAAUGAUCAUUAUCAUUAUUCCAAGAGCACUAAAACCAUAGCAGUGUAGGGCUGAAUUUAAAGACAUA
RNAcentral lists this long non-coding RNA (3990 nucleotides) under Ovis aries (sheep). RNAcentral describes it as "lncRNA (ENSOARG00000025440.1)". The record is from RNAcentral. Lineage: Eukaryota; Metazoa; Chordata; Mammalia; Artiodactyla; Bovidae.